Molecule: long non-coding RNA, 366 nt
Filed under: Brassica napus (rape)
Lineage: Eukaryota; Viridiplantae; Streptophyta; Magnoliopsida; Brassicales; Brassicaceae
Description: long non-coding RNA (BNAP_LNC007301)
Source: RNAcentral
ACGAAACAUACUUUGCAAAGGAGAACAAAGAACAAUAAAAUCCCAAAAUCAUAAAAACCAAGAUCUAUAGAGAACAAGAAGAACCCUAAUCAUACAAAAUCCAGAAUCUUAAUUUAGAACCCUAAAUCGAAAAAAAACUCUGAAUCUCUCAUCAAAUCAGGUUGAGCCGUCGCCGUUCUUGAUAUUUUUUGCUCGGUAACUAUGGAAAAGUGAAGGUUUUGUUUGGUAUUCAUGGAGGACGACAGGUUAUGAAGAAAGAAGAAGGAAGAUAAGUGAUUUUCACAGAGAAGAACAAGAAAAUCGCAGAGAAAAGAAAGAGAAAUCGCAGAGAAAAGAAAGAGAAGAAGCGUAAGAAAAAAGAGGAGA